RNAcentral lists this small nuclear RNA (58 nucleotides) under Carlito syrichta (Philippine tarsier). RNAcentral describes it as "U7 small nuclear RNA (ENSTSYG00000023741.2)". It matches the Rfam family "U7 small nuclear RNA". Rfam says of the family: Animal histone pre-mRNAs are spliced by a different mechanism than nuclear pre-mRNAs and self-splicing introns. This processing involves the U7 snRNP, which contains only one RNA species: U7. The record is from Rfam by way of RNAcentral. Lineage: Eukaryota; Metazoa; Chordata; Mammalia; Primates; Tarsiidae.
UAGUGUUAUAGCUCUUAGAAUUUGUCUAGCAGGUUUUUCAGUUUUUAGUAGAACCACU